Molecule: transfer RNA, 65 nt
Filed under: Metopina sagittata
Lineage: Eukaryota; Metazoa; Arthropoda; Insecta; Diptera; Phoridae
Description: tRNA-Asp
Rfam family: tRNA
About the family: Transfer RNA (tRNA) molecules are approximately 80 nucleotides in length.
Source: RNAcentral
AAAAAAUUAGUUAAAUAAUAACAUUAGCUUGUCAAGCUAAAAUUACUAAAUUUUAGUAUUUUUUG